Molecule: ribosomal RNA, 332 nt
Filed under: uncultured bacterium
Lineage: Bacteria
Description: bacterial SSU rRNA
Rfam family: Bacterial small subunit ribosomal RNA
Source: RNAcentral
UGCGUAGACGGUUUCGUAAGUCGGGUGUGAAAUCCCCGGGCUCAACCUGGGAAUUGCAUUCGAAACUGCGAGGCUUGGGUGCGGAAGAGGGAAGCGGAAUUUCCGGUGUAGCGGUGAAAUGCGUAGAUAUCGGAAGGAACAUCAGUGGCGAAAGCGGCUUCCUGGUCCAGCACCGACGUUCAGGCACGAAAGCGUGGGGAGCAAACAGGAUUAGAUACCCUGGUAGUCCACGCCAUAAACGACGAGAACUAGACGUUGAGAGGGUAAGCCUCCCAGUGUCGUAGCUAACGCGCUAAGUUCUCCGCCUGGGGAGUUACGGCCGCAAGGUUGAA